AUCAAACAUUGUCUGCUCCAUCA
This 23-nucleotide non-coding RNA is filed under the name Arabidopsis thaliana (thale cress). The record is from RNAcentral. Lineage: Eukaryota; Viridiplantae; Streptophyta; Magnoliopsida; Brassicales; Brassicaceae.